AGUGGCGGACGGGUGAGUAACGCGUGAGAAUCUGCCUUGGGGUCGGGGACAACCACUGGAAACGGUGGCUAAUACCGGAUAAGCCGAUUGGUAAAAGAUUUAUUGCCCGAAGAGGAGCUCGCGUCUGAUUAGCUAGUUGGUGAGGUAAGAGCUCACCAAGGCAGCGAUCAGUAGCUGGUCUGAGAGGACGAUCAGCCACACUGGGACUGAGACACGGCCCAGACUCCUACGGGAGGCAGCAGUGGGGAAUUUUCCGCAAUGGGCGAAAGCCUGACGGAGCAAGACCGCGUGAGGGAGGAAGGCUCUUGGGUUGUAAACCUCUUUUCUCAGGGAAGAAGCUCUGACGGUACCUGAGGAAUCAGCCUCGGCUAACUCCGUGCCAGCAGCCGCGGUAAUACGGAGGAGGCAAGCGUUAUCCGGAAUUAUUGGGCGUAAAGCGUCCGCAGGUGGCGAUUCAAGUCUGCUGUCAAAGCACGGGGCUUAACUCCGUAAAGGCAGUGGAAACUGAAUAGCUAGAGUGCCGUAGGGGUAGAGGGAAUUCCCGGUGUAGCGGUGAAAUGCGUAGAGAUCGGGAAGAACAUCGGUGGCGAAAGCGCUCUACUGGACGGCAACUGACACUCAGGGACGAAAGCUAGGGGAGCGAAUGGGAUUAGAUACCCC
This 660-nucleotide ribosomal RNA is filed under the name uncultured bacterium. RNAcentral describes it as "bacterial SSU rRNA". It matches the Rfam family "Bacterial small subunit ribosomal RNA", at positions 94 to 788 of the family's 1533-position model. The record is from RNAcentral.